Molecule: long non-coding RNA, 318 nt
Organism: Ahaetulla prasina
Lineage: Eukaryota; Metazoa; Chordata; Lepidosauria; Squamata; Colubridae
Exons: 2
Source: RefSeq, a predicted model, not a curated record
ACUUGGUCAUCACCGUCGCCUUUCAUCAGACACUAUAAACUCGAUACCUAUGCAUCGGCAGAAGCCUCCUUCGGUAGACGAGUUUUGCAAAGUGUACACGACAACCCAUGACUCAUCGGCCUAUCUUCACCCUCCCGGACAAUCACCUAGCUUUGGAAGACACGUAGAGUCUGAGCAGCUUCCUCGCCAAAAACUGGAGAGACAACAGGAUAAGGCGGGGCUUGAAACAGAUUAAAGACUCGGUCCUACAAGCUUGACACAAGAGUUAACCCAUGCCUGACUGCCGUUUUCCUCCUUGCUGAGAAAGGACGUCUCAGG